AGCAGCCGCGGUAAUUCCAGCUCCAAUAGCGUAUAUUAAAGUUGUUGCAGUUAAAAAGCUCGUAGUUGAAUUUCGGGGUCAGUAGGCUGGUCGUGCCACCGGUACGUACUGGUCUCACUGAUUCCUCCUUCCUGAAGAACCGUAAUGCCAUUAAUUUGGUGUUGCGGGGAAACAGGACUGUUACUUUGAAAAAAUUAGAGUGUUUAAAGCAAGCUAACGCUUGAAUACAUUAGCAUGGAAUAAUGAAAUAGGACGAUCGAUCCUAUUUUGUUGGUUUCUAGGAUUGACGUAAUGAUUAAUAGGGAUAGUUGGG
This 313-nucleotide ribosomal RNA is filed under the name uncultured Glomus. RNAcentral's name for it is "SSU rRNA". It matches the Rfam family "Eukaryotic small subunit ribosomal RNA", at positions 569 to 886 of the family's 1831-position model. Lineage: Eukaryota; Fungi; Glomeromycota; Glomeromycetes; Glomerales; Glomeraceae. The record is from RNAcentral.